UACGUAGGUGGCAAGCGUUGUCCGGAUUUACUGGGCGUAAAGAGCGCGCAGGCGGUCGUGCAAGUCGCGUGUGAAAGCCCCCCGGCUCAACUGGGGAGGGUCACGCGAUACUGCUCGACUUGAAGGCAGGAGAGGGAAGUGGAAUUCCCGGUGUAGUGGUGAAAUGCGUAGAUAUCAGGAGGAACACCGAUGGCGAAGGCAGAUCUCUGGGCCGUAACUGACGCUGAGGAGCGAAAGCAUGGGGAGCGAACAGG
Molecule: ribosomal RNA, 254 nt
Filed under: uncultured bacterium
Lineage: Bacteria
Description: partial 16S ribosomal RNA
Rfam family: Bacterial small subunit ribosomal RNA
Source: RNAcentral